Ribosomal RNA from Homo sapiens (human), 185 nucleotides. It matches the Rfam family "Eukaryotic large subunit ribosomal RNA", at positions 2136 to 2328 of the family's 3401-position model. NCBI's taxonomy places the organism in Eukaryota, Metazoa, Chordata, Mammalia, Primates, Hominidae. The record is from Rfam.
GAAAAUAAAAAGACAUCGCGAAGGCCCACGGCGGGUGUUGACGUGAUGUGAUUUCUGCCCAGUGCUCUGAAUGUCAAACUGAAGAAAUUCAGUGAAAUGCGGGUAAACGGCGGGAGUAACUAUGACUCUCUUAAGGUAGCUAAAUGCCUUGUCAUCUAAUUAGUGACGCGCAUGAAUGGAUGAAC